Molecule: non-coding RNA, 1564 nt
Organism: Xyrichtys novacula (pearly razorfish)
Lineage: Eukaryota; Metazoa; Chordata; Actinopteri; Labriformes; Labridae
Source: the annotation of a GenBank genome assembly
UGACGAUGUAAAAAAUUUAAAUCAUCACAAGUCGAUAAACAACGGUCAUUUCUGAAGAUUCAACCUGAAGAUCGACACGAAAAACUUCUGUGGCUCACAAACUUUCAGCUUGACAGCUCUUCGACAGCUCCAUCGUGAAUAAAACCUCCCCCAGACGACUGAUAAACACCUGAACAGAGAGGAAACACCGACGACAUGGAGACCGUAAGAUUGAAUGACAAUAUCCUCAUGAAAACUUGUGUUAUCGUCGAGACUUUGGGAAUAGUUAGCUUAAAAGUGAUGCAUUGACACUGUAUGAUGAGCCCAAAGUCCUGCUGUGGUCCUGUCCUGCAUGUUUAAGAGCAGAAAAGUUCAUGUUAUUGUGAGAAAUCUCUGCGUUUAGUUUUAGUAAAAGAUGUUUUUGUCUUCUUGGCUUUUUAAAGACGUCAGUCUGAAACUUAUUUGACAGUUUCUUUUAUACUAACCAAUGAUAUCAGGUGAAAACUAACAUUGAACUCAAGCUAUUUUCACUGUAAUUACAGCGAAAGAGGCGUAUUAAAGUAGUCAAAUGUAGUGUUAAAAUAAGGGACACCUUCAUAAGUUUAAAGAUUUGUCAGUCAUCAUAAAAUUCAACAAAAUGAACUCAAAAUACAUCAUAGUUAGACCUUUUUUUUAAAUUAUUUUAAAGUGCUCCAAUAGGCCUAAAUUACAAAAAAAUCAUAUGAAUUACAUUUAAAAAGUUACAAAAACAGAAAAAAUUAAGUUGAAAGACAUUUAUUAUGUACAGCCUUUAAAAUUAAGAGUUUGAUAAAGUUCAACUCAAAUAUGUUUUUAUGUUUUCAUGAAUCAAGUGUGUGUUUUCUACCACAAUAUUUAAAACUUCAUUAUGUUUUAACAGGGAAAAAUCCACCUUAAGUGUAAUCGAAACACUGUCCUAUUGUAGAAAUCAGUUUUUAUCAAACUGAAAACUGAAGAUUUUCUUAUUAUUAAAUCCUGAGAAUAUGCAGACAUACCAAAAUAUCAAUUCUUAACAGGGGUGUUCUAUUGAUGUUAAUUAUUUCUAUUGCACAACUAACCUGCUGAUUACAGACUAAAUACAAAUUCAAAUGUAUUGACCCCUCUUGAUGAUACUGAUGUUACAGAUGCUUCCUUCAUGACCUUGACCACACAGUCAAAUGUUACAGCUUGUUUAAGGACCUCGGUCCUUGUGCACAGCUCUGACUGGUCCUGUCCCAGGCUGAUGCUCAGGAGGGUCGCCGCAACACCCAUGUCCCCUUCCAGGCCUCGUGGUGUAAGUAGGAAAUGACACUGACAACAUAGAGAGGCUGUUAGCAUGCCUUCAAAACAACAUACAAAACUUUUAUAGUCUGAAUAAUUUUGACUACAGAAAUGUGUUUAUGAAUUUGUCUUUUAUUUUAAUUUUCUUGAACUGACUUGUGUUCAUGAAUUUAUUUCAAAGAUGUGAAAACCAGAAAACCAGUUCUGCAGAGUUCAGAUUUUUUAACUUGUCGUUUUUUUCUGUCUCAGGUGGUGCAGUACAGCCUCGUCGGGUCUUGUGUUGCCCUUCUCUUUGCUCCUCUCCUGC